CCUGCCUCAGCCUCCCGAGUAGCUGGGACUACAGGCACGUGCCACCACGCCUGGCUAAUUUUUUGCAUUUUCAGUAGAGAUGGGGUUUCACCGUGUUAGCCAGGAUGGUCUCGAUCUCCUGACCUCGUGAUCUGCCUGCCUCAGCCUCCCAAAGUGCUGGGAUUACAGGCGUGAGCCACAGUGCCUGGCCUGUAUUAUAUUUAUUUUGAGACAGGGUCUUACCCUGUCGCUCAGGCUGGAGUGCAGUGGUGCUAUCUCAGCUCACCGCAACCUCCUCCUCCCGGCUCAAGCUGAUCCUCCCGCCUCAGCCUCCCGAGUAUCUGGGACUACUUUUUGUAGAGAUGGCGUCUUGCUAUGUUGCCCAGGCUGGUCUCAAACUCUCGGUCUCAAGCUCCUGGGCUCAAGAGAUCCUCCCAUCUGGGCCUCCCAAAGUUCUUAGGAUUACAGACGUGAGCUACUGUGCCUGGCUAGGGAAUAUUUUUGAAAGUAGAGUUCUUGCAGGCUAAAGGAGCAGGCAGCACAGAUGAGAGGAGACAUCUGAGUUGCUUUAAAAGGAAGGGCAAAAUGUGGUGACCAGAGAGGAAAGUGAAAAGCUUUCCAGCAGGCUCACGGCAGGAAAGGAGGGUCAGGACAGGGAACUAUGUGUACAGAUAUUGAGGUACAAAUAAGGUAAGUGUAAUUUAAAAAGAGAAAAUAAGAAAAAGCUCAUUUCUUUUCUGGACAAUACUAACAGUUUGAUGCUGGAAGCUAUCUUAGAAGUUAGGAAAUUCAACCAGGGUCCUCAGAGAGCAGACUGGAAGUCAGGAUGUGGGGAUGAGACACGGGGCUGGCAGACAGCAAGGGUGACAGUGCUUGUGCUUACUCCGCUUGUGCCUGCUGUAGCUCAGUUCUGUGACUGCCCUGGCAUUUUCUCAAUUGUGUGGUGAAUUAAUUUGUUUAAGUACUCCUUGUUUAGACCCUCUAUUUAAGACCUUUUUUGAACAUUUUAUGGAAUCUCCUUCCCUUGGAUCUACUUACUACGGAAAGAACAGUCCCUUAUUUUCUCAUGAGUUGAUGCCACUCUUGUUUUGGCCGUUCAGAGAUAAUAUGAUGCUGGGUCAGUUUAUAUUUUCCCCUUCUCCAUUCCUGGUGUCUAGCUUGACUCAGGAACUUGAGAUUUGAGAACCAGGCACCAGCCCUGACUAACUGUGACUUUGGGGUUACUGAGCCUCAGUUUCUUGGUGUGUUAAAUGGAAAUAUCAGUACCUUUCCACUUAAUUUAUGGGGCUAUUUUGAGAUAAAAUUUAAUUAUUGUUUAUUUUCUUCUUCUUUUUUUUUUUUCCUAAGAUGGCAUCUCAAUGUGUUACCCAGGCUGGUCUUGAACUCCUGGACUCAAUCCUCCUACCUUGGCCUCCCAAAGUGCUGGGAUUAUAGGUGUGAGUCAUCCUGUCUGGCCUAUUUUCUGAGGACUGAUUUUGUAUUUUAUUAUUAUUAUUUUAGGACCACAUAACUCUGUUUAGAAAAUGUUUCUAAUGUAUUGAGUGCUUCAAAGGUAUAUUAGUUCGAUUUCACACUGCUAUAAGGAAUUGCCUGAGGCUGAGUAAUAUAUAAAAUAAACAGGUUUAAUUGACUCAGUUCCAUAUAACUGGGGAGGCCGCAGGAAACUUACAAUCAUGGCUGAAGGUGAAGGGGAAGCAAGGCACAUCUUACUUGUUGGCAGGAGAGAGAGAGUGCAGGGGAAACUGCCACUUUUUCUUUUUUUUUUUUGGAGACAGAGUCUCACUCUGUUGCCCAGGCUGGAGUGCAGUGGCGCAAUCUUGGCUCACUGCAAGCUUGGCCUCCCGGGUUCACGUCAUUCUCCUGCCUCAGCAUCCCGAGUAGCUGGGACUACAGGCGCCCGCCACUACGCCUGGCUAAUUUUUUGUAUUUUUAGUAGAGACGAGGUUUCACGUGUUAGUCAGGAUGGUCUCGAUCUUCUGCCCUCAGGUAAUCCACCCGCCUUGGCCUCCCAAAGUGCUGGGAUUACAGGUGUGAGCCACCAUGCCCAGCCAGAAACUGCCACUUUUAAACCAUCAGAUCUCAUUGAGAACUCCCUCACUAUCACGAGAACCGCAUGAGGGAAACCACCCCCAUGAUCUGAUCACCUCCCACCAGGUCCUGCCCUCAACAUGUGGGGAUUACAAUUCAAGAUGAGAUUUGGGUCAGGAAACAGAGCCAAACCAUAUCAAGAGCCUCUGGUAACCACUGUUCUACUCAAUACUUCUAUGAGGUGAACUUCUUUGGAUUCCACAUAUGAUCAAGAUCAUGAGGAAGGAGGAGCAAGUCUUCUUUGUCAUGCUAUUAAGAAAAUACCCAGAGUCACAGCACCAUGAUCUCCUUGUGAAGCAGAACAAGUAAUAUAAAACUGAUCUAAAGAGGCCUCCCCUCUACUCUUAUCUGUCUGGUCGAGUCAUUUGGGUCCAAGUGGGCACCAUUGUGGGAGGGUGGGAGGACUCAUCACUGGGGGCCCAGGCAUCAUUGGCAUGUGGCCUCCUGUGUUAGUUUGUUCUCAUGCUGCAAAUAAAGACAACUUGAGACUGGAUAAUUUAUAAAGGAAAGAGGUUUAAUGGACUCACAGUUCCACAUGGCUAAGGAGUACUCACAAUCAUGGCGGAAGACAAAGGAAGAGCAAAGGGACAUCUUACAUGGCAGCAGGCAAGAGAGCGUGUGCAGGGGAAGUCCCCUUUAUAAAACCAUCAGAUCUCAUGAGACUUAUUCACUAUCGCGAGAACAGCAUGAGAAAAACCCACCCCCAUGAUUCAAUUACCUCCCACCGUGUCCCUCCCAUGUCAUGUGAAGAUUAUUACAACUCAAGGUGAGAUCUGAGUGGGGACACAGAGCCAAAUGAUAUCACCUCCAAUGGGCAGCCUCAUUCCAGGAGCACAUCCCAUUGGCAUCAUCCAGGAGGAGGGGGGGGCCAUCAUUGGCAUCAUGGGAGGGCCCCCCAGCUGGGGUGCUGGCAUCAUACCUGGUGAGGAACAGGAAGAGACUGGGGGGAGGUUGGAUCAUCGCUCCUGCAGGAGGAGGAACAGAGAACAGAGUAGGAGGUGUUCUUCCUUGUUGAGAUGCAGUCUUUGUUCUGUCAGCCAGGCUCCGAGCCUGCUCUUCUAUCCAUUUCUGGUAGUAGUCUUUCACAUUCUCUUUGUGUUUCCUUCCACUGCAAUGGUAGGUUCUCACAGAUGGAGAGUCGUGGGUGAGGUAUGUAUUGCAGAAGUCACAACAAAACUUAGGCAUGUUGCUCUGUAGCCCGUUAACCACUCUCUUCCCUGAUUUUGCUUUGUUUUGAUGUGACAUUGAAGCACUGCACAUGCGCAGAGCAGCUAAUAGUUCUUCCCUCUUUGGAUUGUUGGAUGAAAUUUUUUUGAAUUUUAUUUUUUAUUGAUACAUAAUAGAUAUAUGUGUUUUGGGGGUACAUAUGAUAAUUUAAUAUAUUUAUAUAACUUGUUAAGAACAAAUCAGUGUAAUUGGGACAGCCACCACCUUAAAUACUUGUCCUUCCUUUUUGCUGGAAACAUUUGUAUUAUUCUCUUAGCUAUUUUGAAAUAUACAAUAGGUUAUUCUAAACUAUAAUCACCCUAGUGAUCUAUGAAACACUACGUCUUAUUUCU
Homo sapiens (human) is the source of this 3626-nucleotide long non-coding RNA. Ensembl annotates it as ERICH6 antisense RNA 1. Its record names the gene ERICH6-AS1. Lineage: Eukaryota; Metazoa; Chordata; Mammalia; Primates; Hominidae. The record is from Ensembl.